Molecule: long non-coding RNA, 269 nt
Organism: Rosa chinensis
Lineage: Eukaryota; Viridiplantae; Streptophyta; Magnoliopsida; Rosales; Rosaceae
Exons: 3
Source: RefSeq, a predicted model, not a curated record
GACAGUGACUAAGAAAUUGAGGCAGAGGAUAUGGAACCUGACAAGUACAUUUGAUUGACUGGGAUCAUUUGGAAAAUGAACGGAAUAUGGAAACUAGGAAUUGUUCCAAGGCAUAUUACCUAGAAGUUACAGUACUGCUGUUGAAGGUUUUUUUUUUUCCUCAGUUGGCUUUGGGCUUACAGUGCUCAACCCUUUGCAUGAUGGACAAGUUACCUGACCUCAGGUGAUGCUAUAUAUUAUGUGCUUGUUGGAUUAAUUGUAAGGCAAUA